Molecule: ribosomal RNA, 967 nt
Filed under: Pisaura mirabilis
Lineage: Eukaryota; Metazoa; Arthropoda; Arachnida; Araneae; Pisauridae
Description: partial 28S large subunit ribosomal RNA
Rfam family: Eukaryotic large subunit ribosomal RNA
Source: RNAcentral
GGGAAGAGCCCAGCGCCGAAUCCCCGACCGUCAAGGUCGCGGGAAAUGUGGCGUUUAGGAGUGAGCGUGCCGAGAUCGGACCCCGCAGCAAGUCCCCCUGACCGGGGCCUUCCCAGAGCGGGUGCGAGGCCCAUAGCCGCGGGGGCCGUCUCGGAUGCGAUCUCCUGGGAGUCGGGUUGCUUGGGAGUGCAGCCCUAAUCGGGUGGUAGACUCCACCUAAGGCUAAAUACCGCCGUGAGACCGAUAGCAAACAAGUACCGUGAGGGAAAGUUGCAAAGAACUUUGAAGAGAGAGUUCAAGAGUACGUGAAACUGCUCAGAGGUAAACGGGUGGGCCCUCGAAAUCCUGUGGCGAGAGGAUUCAGUCUGGAGUUGCAGUCGCGCUGGUCGGAAAUCGAAGUAGGACUUCCCGGGAUCGGGGUCGUCCGACUGCGAAAUUCUGCCUCGCCAGACGCAUUUGUCUCUCGCUCGAAGGACGCCGCAGCCGGUUGGGCAGUGAAAACGUGACGGCCUGGAAGGCGGACGAUGGCAGGUGGCCGGUGGCGAGUCUCGUGCUCGUCGCCGGUUGUUAGCCGGUCCGUCGGUGGCUCGUCGUUCGACCGAGGUAUCGAGAAGCCCCUAGGGGCCCUCGCGUCUCCUCCUUUACGGAAGUCGGGACAUGCUGUCGCGAGCGAAGGCAACCGUUCCGCCGCACUCCUUCGGAGUGGGCGAGCGAAAGGUCGGCGCCGUCGGUGACAGUGGACCCGCUGGAGGUCGGAGGCUUGCGGCGAGUAGGUCGGUCACCCACCCGACCCGUCUUGAAACACGGACCAAGGAGUCUAACAUGUGCGCGAGUCAAUGGGUCUCGAAUAAGCCCAGAGGCGCAAUGAAAGUGGAGGUCGGCAGCUCGUCGACCGAGUCGGGAUCCCCUUCCCUCGCGGAGGGGGCGCACCGACGACCCGUCCUAUGCGGCUCGCCGCUUGGGCGGA